Molecule: transfer RNA, 66 nt
Filed under: Rhinebothroides sp. MZUSP 8013
Lineage: Eukaryota; Metazoa; Platyhelminthes; Cestoda; Rhinebothriidea; Rhinebothriidae
Also listed under: 3 other names
Description: tRNA-Ala
Source: RNAcentral
AACGAUGUAGUUUAUUUAGAAUUAUGAGUUUGCGUCUCAUAGGAGGAAUAAUAAUUCUCUUCGUUA